RNAcentral lists this transfer RNA (79 nucleotides) under Podarcis lilfordi (Lilford's wall lizard). RNAcentral's name for it is "tRNA.Thr". The stretch from base 9 to 73 matches the Rfam family "tRNA". Rfam says of the family: Transfer RNA (tRNA) molecules are approximately 80 nucleotides in length. Their secondary structure includes four short double-helical elements and three loops (D, anti-codon, and T loops). Further hydrogen bonds mediate the characteristic L-shaped molecular structure. tRNAs have two regions of fundamental functional importance: the anti-codon, which is responsible for specific mRNA codon recognition, and the 3' end, to which the tRNAs corresponding amino acid is attached (by aminoacyl-tRNA synthetases). tRNAs cope with the degeneracy of the genetic code in two manners: having more than one tRNA (with a specific anti-codon) for a particular amino acid; and 'wobble' base-pairing, i.e. permitting non-standard base-pairing at the 3rd anti-codon position. Lineage: Eukaryota; Metazoa; Chordata; Lepidosauria; Squamata; Lacertidae. The record is from RNAcentral.
GCCAGUGUGGUGUAGUGGUUAAGAGCGGUAGACUCGUAAUCUGGUGAACCAGGUUCGCUUCCUGGCUCCUCCACAUGCA